Non-coding RNA from Podarcis lilfordi (Lilford's wall lizard), 934 nucleotides. The record is from the annotation of a GenBank genome assembly. Lineage: Eukaryota; Metazoa; Chordata; Lepidosauria; Squamata; Lacertidae.
AGAUGGAGGGACCUUUGGACGGGCAAGAUCAGCCUUUGAACUUGAUAAAUGAACUUGGGACAAACCAGAUUCGGAAAGAUGAAAUGUGGUCAGAUUUGGAAAUGGGGGAUGGAUCGACCCUCCAUAUGGUUAUUUGGACCUUCCGAGUCUGGUGAUGGGCUAUCAGAGGAUUGGAGUAGCCGAAGUCUCCAAGCUUUGUGGAAAUUUGAAGUGGUAUUAUUUGCUGUCUGGCUUGGGCAAUGGGUUUGGGAUGGACUUGCUGCAAAGGGUCAAAAGCAUUUUCUUGCUGGAGCAUCCACGACUGGAAAGGAAUCAUCAACAAGAGUGGCGAAAGGGGCAAGAAAGAGACUUGAGGGCCUCGGAUACGAGACAACCAGGUUAAGGAGCCGGAUUAUCGAGGUUAAAAGGACUGACAAUCCCGGGUCCAGGGGAGGGGAGGUUGGAAGCUGACUGGACUGAAUUUGACUUAUUAUUUUUUCUUUUUUAUUUUUUAAUAUUGGGAAUGCUUACAAAUGUUUGAAGGAUGUUGAAUGAAAUUACAUGGCUUAAGUAAGGAUUGGUAAAUGAUUUGUAAAAAGGUAAUGAUGCAAGAAUUUGGUAAAUAUUGAAUAUAAGCUAUGAGUUUUAAAGUUUUUAUAUGACAAGAGGGAAAAUAGAAUAAGGAAACGUAAUGACAGAUUGUUAUGAAAAAACAGAAAGGAUUUGCUGUAAAGAUUAAAAAUUAAGAAACAAAAGAGGGAGGAGGAGGAAGUCUAGAAAGGAAGUCAAUAGAGAUUGUAAAGGACUUUAUAUUUUUGUUUUUCUGUUUCUCUUUUUUUUUUCUUUGCGGCUGGGUUUUCUUUUCUUUUUUGUUUAUGUACUAUUUUUGUUUUUUGUAUCCUUAAAUUUUUUUUUUGGAAAUUUUUGUUGUUAUUUUUUGAAAAUUCAAUAAAUA